GUCGGCUUGCCGACUAUGGCGAUAAACGCGCUCGUAAUAACCGGACCGGACCCGGGGGCAGUACCCGGCGGCUCCACCA
RNAcentral lists this transfer-messenger RNA (79 nucleotides) under Maricaulis maris MCS10. RNAcentral's name for it is "transfer-messenger RNA Maric_maris_MCS10". It matches the Rfam family "Alphaproteobacteria transfer-messenger RNA", at positions 40 to 119 of the family's 355-position model. Rfam says of the family: Bacterial tmRNA, also known as 10Sa RNA or SsrA, is named for its dual tRNA and mRNA-like properties. Its role is to liberate the mRNA from a stalled ribosome. Lineage: Bacteria; Pseudomonadati; Pseudomonadota; Alphaproteobacteria; Maricaulales; Maricaulaceae. The record is from RNAcentral.